This 433-nucleotide ribosomal RNA is filed under the name uncultured bacterium. RNAcentral describes it as "partial 16S ribosomal RNA". It matches the Rfam family "Bacterial small subunit ribosomal RNA", at positions 29 to 507 of the family's 1533-position model. The record is from RNAcentral.
AACGAACGCUGGCGGCAUGCCUAACACAUGCAAGUCGAACGAGACCUUCGGGUCUAGGUGCGCACGGGUGCGUAACGCGGGGGAAGCUGCCCGUAGGUUCCGAAUAACUGCCCGAAAGGGGUGCUAAUACCGGAGAAUGUCUUCGGACCAAAGAUUUAUCGCCUUUGGAUGGGGCCGUGUUGGAUUCGCUAGUUGGUAGGGUAAAAGCAUACCAAGGCGAGGAUCCAUAGCUGGUCUGAGAGGAUGAUCCGCAGCACUGGGGCUGAGACACGGCCCAGACUCCUACGCGACGCAGCAGUGGGUUACAUUGUAGGCUGGGCCCAAACGUGAUCCAGCCAUGCCGCGUGUGUGAUCCAGGCCUUAGGGUUGUACAGCUCUCUUACCCGGGGUGAUAAUGACGGUACCGGGAGAAUAAGCUCCGGCUAACUCCGUG